GGUAGCGUGGCUGAGUGGUCCAAGGCGCUGGAUUUAGGCUCCAGUCCCUUCGGAGGCGUGGGUUCGAAUCUCACCAUUGCCA
This is a non-coding RNA of Pristis pectinata (smalltooth sawfish), 82 nucleotides long. Lineage: Eukaryota; Metazoa; Chordata; Chondrichthyes; Rhinopristiformes; Pristidae. The record is from the annotation of a RefSeq genome assembly.